Molecule: non-coding RNA, 45 nt
Filed under: Echinostoma caproni
Lineage: Eukaryota; Metazoa; Platyhelminthes; Trematoda; Plagiorchiida; Echinostomatidae
Source: RNAcentral
UCACUGCUGAUGAGUCCUAAAUAGGACAAAACAGAUGUCCAGUAC